UACCUAGGGGGCAAGCGUUAUCCGGAAUUAUUGGGUGUAAAGGGUGCGUAGACGGAGAAACAAGUUGGUUGUGAAAUCCCUCGGCUCAACCGAGGAACUGCAACCAAAACUAUUUCCCUUGAGUGUCGGAGAGGAAAGUGGAAUUCCUAGUGUAGCGGUGAAAUGCGUAGAUAUUAGGAGGAACACCAGUGGCGAAGGCGACUUUCUGGACGAUAACUGACGUUGAGGCACGAAAGUGUGGGGAGCAAACAGG
RNAcentral lists this ribosomal RNA (253 nucleotides) under uncultured bacterium. RNAcentral's name for it is "partial 16S ribosomal RNA". It matches the Rfam family "Bacterial small subunit ribosomal RNA", at positions 524 to 776 of the family's 1533-position model. The record is from RNAcentral.